Molecule: long non-coding RNA, 411 nt
Organism: Medicago truncatula (barrel medic)
Lineage: Eukaryota; Viridiplantae; Streptophyta; Magnoliopsida; Fabales; Fabaceae
Exons: 2
Source: RefSeq, a predicted model, not a curated record
GACCGGAUAUUGUGGCUACGGCGAUUCAUGCAAGUUUUUGCACGACCGAACUGAUUACAAGUCCGGGUGGCAAUUAGAGAAAGAAUGGAAUGAAACCGAAAAGAGGAGGGUGCGCUGAUGGUUUGUUUGACGAGAGUGACGAUGAAGAUCAAGAAGUGUCAAAGCCUGGAGAGCAAGAUGCUGCUGAGGCAACUACAGAGAGUAAAGUAGAAGCUACUCCAAGCACAUAAUAACCUUGCAGUGCAAGAUUUGAAGAUGCUUAGAAAGACUGUUGAGUGAAUUUUUCCUCCGUUGUGCCAUUCAGUGGUAGUUUUAAGUGGGAGACGUUUGUGUCCUCUUUGAUGUGUUGACUUAACAGUAGGAUAUUGUAUAAUUGAGAUUUAUUUAAUGCAUGAAUGGCGGUGAUUUGUU